RNAcentral lists this long non-coding RNA (3293 nucleotides) under Capsicum annuum. RNAcentral describes it as "long non-coding RNA (CANN_LNC019861)". The record is from RNAcentral. Lineage: Eukaryota; Viridiplantae; Streptophyta; Magnoliopsida; Solanales; Solanaceae.
CCCAGCAGAGUCGUCAAACUGUCAUACCCUAUUUUUACCUAAGGUCAAAACGAGCACGAUAUUAUAAACUCUAAAAGAAUUGAUUUUAUACAGAGUUGCCACCUAAUUUUUAAGAAAAAUAAGAAAACCUAUUUAUUUAUUUAUUAACAAGUAUAACUUUAUUUCAUCUACGAAAUCAUUUUAGAUUUCAGAUAAGGAUUCAAAUUAUUCCAAAAGGAAAGAGGUUAGGCAUCCUUCAAAAUCCACAAAUGUGGUGUCCGACCAGACUUAAAUUUAUUAAAAAAUAAAGAAAAAAAUCAAUGUUUAUAAAUACAAUUAUAAAAUGUGUAUUAAAAUGAUAUAAAUAAUUUAUAUAUAAAUAAUGUAUAAAUUGCAUAUGCUAUCGUAAAAAUCAUAUGUAUAAGAAAUGUUGAAGAAAAACGAAAGUACAUGAGAAUAUGUAUUAAAAAUGAAAAGAUUGAAUGUAGAAAAAAUUUGCUCUAAAGAAAAGAUUACGUAAUAUUUUAGUGUAAAAAAUGUGAAUUAUUCAAUUAAAUAUCUAAAUCAAUUUAAUUCUUUUAUAUAAAUUGUAAUGGCCUAAAUUUGCCUAUACUCACUGAAGAUUGUAUAAAUAACGAAUAUCCCCACUCAAUGCCCCAAAAAUAAAGUUUUCACUAUGAUAAUAUUUGUACAAGUAUAAGAAGAUAAAAAUAUAAUGCAAAAUUUAAAGUCUUCUAUGAAUGCUGUUUCCGACGAGUAUUGUCAAUAACCUGUUUAAACACUUAUAAUAAAAAUGUUAGUAACAAAUAAAUAGUUAUAAAAGGGCAUGUAUGCAUAUAUGUAUUCAAAAUAUAUUUUUUGUUAAAAAAACAGGCUCAGAGAAAGUUUUUUAAAAAAUAAAAGAUUUCAUUAUUGCCCAAAUUUAUUUAUUUUAUUAAGUAUUUGUAUACAUAAUAUCCGUCGACUUUUUAUUUGCGGAGGCCUCAAAAAUCGACGAAAAAUUUCUCCAUCCGCCAAUUAAGUAGCCUUUUGACCAUAAAAACUAAAAUUUUUCGAAGUUGGAGUUAAAAUUAGAGUUGAAAUUAGAGUUGGAGCUGUGUUUGGCCAUGUCUUUUUUGAAAUUUCUUUUUUGACUUUUGAAAAAACUUUUUUAAAUAUGAUUUUAUACCCCAAUUUUUACAAACUAUCAAAAUCACCCAACUAAAAUUUAUCUACUAAUGAAAAAAGAACACAAUUAGCCACUAUAAUAAAAAUAAUUACAUAUACAUGACCAUAUUUAAUAAAUUUCAAUUAUGACAUAUAUAAUAUUUACAUUAAUAGCCGUUUUCACAUAUUUAAAAAUUUUAAAUAUGAAUGUUAUAUUAGCAGGUCACUGCCUCAUGUUUUUUAGAUAACAAAUAUUAUCUUUCAAAUAAAUUUAUUUUUUUAGAAAUUUAUUUAAUUUAUUUCCUUCAUUUUUCGUUCCUAAAAUAUAGGAAAUGAUGAGUUGUUAUUAAAUUUUAGGGUGCCCCUAAUUUAUUUCUUUAAUUUUCUUAUACAUGAAAGAUUUUACUGUGUGUAAAUAAAUUAUUUCUAUGUAAAAUAUGCUUUGCAUAUUUAUGGUAUAAUAUAUCAAAUACCAUAAAUAUAUAAAUAUGCUUAGUAUGUUUGUUUAUACUUUGUAUUUUUAUAUAUGUGUGUAUAUAGUAUAUACAUGAUAUAAACUUCAUAUAUAACAUAAUUUGUAUAUUUAUAUUAUAAAUAUACUUAAUAUGUUUCUUAAUACUUUGUAUAUUUAUAUAUAUGUGUAUAUGAUAUAUACAUGAUAUAAACUUUAUAUAUAACAUACUUUGUAUAUUUCUAUUAUAAAUAUAAUACUUUAUAUAUUUAUGGGUAUAAAUAUAAAUUUGUAGUAAAAUAAUGUCUUAAAUAAGGGAUAAAAAUAAUGAUUAUAAAUAUGAUACUUUAUAUAUUUAUGAAUAUAAAUAUAAAUUAGCAGUAAAAUAAUGUCUUAACUAAAGAAGAAAAUUAAAUAAAAGAUAAAACUAAUGAUGAGAGAGAAAAAGAGAUAUAUAUUAAUUAGAAUAACAUUAAAUUUGAAAUUAUAAUUAUCUUAUUCUUUAAAACUGCUAUAUACGUAAUAUUGAAAAAGUAAUGUUAUAAGGAGAGUUUUAUGUAAAAAUUUAAAAGAUUGAGGUUAUAUAUAAUAAUAAUAAAAGUUAGAAUUCAAAAAUUGUGAAAAUAAUAAAAGCCUGUUUUCCUUUUCAGAAAAAUUUUUUGAAAUUAUUUUUCGAAUUUUCAUGACCAAACACCACAAUUUUCAACUUUGAAAUUUUUUUUCAAAAAAGAGGAAAAAAUUUUCAUGGCCAAAGGGCCCUAAAUUAAUCCUGAAUAUAGAAGAAACAAUCAAAUACAAGUAAUUAAAUAAUAAAAAAAUAAAAGAUAAAAAUAAAAUAUGUCUUAUGUCUUUUGUCUUGAGGAGAUAUCAAAGAUUAACGGAGAAAUUUUAUUAUUAUUCAAAUAAUUUAUUAAUAUCGUAGAAUAAAAUAAAACCAAAACAUUCAACUAAAAUAGUCUAACUUGGAACCAAAUUAAAAAUGGCAAUUUCCAAAAAACUAAAUAAAAUUGUGAUGGUGAAUCAAAUCGUCUCUAAAAAGUUAUUUUUUUAAGAAAAUAAUGAAUCAUCAAUUGCAUAAGAUUUAAUCUUGAGUAAACAUCAACUGUGAGGAGUAAAACAUUGGAGAACAAAAUCAAUAUGUCCAAAAAAAAAUCACGAAAAAGAUCAAGCAGCCAUGAAAACAAACAUACAUAGAUUAUCGAAGAGAAAUUCAAGCAAAAUCAACCCAAAAUUAAUAAAAUAAUGUAAAAAUAGUCCAAAAUAAAAAUGGCGACACUUCAAAUUUAUUUCCACAAAACAUGCAAAAUAAUGGUAAAGCGAAAAGAAGAAGCUUUCACCGGGUUUUAAGUUUUUCCGGUAACAUGGUCAUGGUUUCCGGCCAAAUCUGAAAAUAAACAGAAAAAAAUAAUAGCAGUCAAAAGAGAAUGGAUCAUCGGUGUUGCUUCAACGGAUUUUACCGGAGCAACACCGGAGAGGAAUUUUCGACCAAAUCUGUUCCGGUCACUACCUCCGGCCAGGCAGCGGCGGUAGACGACAGAAAGAGAGGAAGCUGGGGCGGCAGAUGGUUUUUGUUGGUGGUUGAAACUCACCGGCCAUCAACUCCAGUGAGAUAGCGAAGAAAGUGAAUUAAUAAGGAGUUUGCAACUUGGGAUGGUGGUCGCCGGCGGUGGGAAAGAGAGCAAGGGGGGGGCACUGGUUGGAGGCUGGAAAGAGAGAU